RNAcentral lists this ribosomal RNA (442 nucleotides) under uncultured bacterium. Its description in RNAcentral is "partial 16S ribosomal RNA". It matches the Rfam family "Bacterial small subunit ribosomal RNA", at positions 338 to 795 of the family's 1533-position model. The record is from RNAcentral.
CCUACGGGAGGCAGCAGUAGGGAAUCUUUCACAAUGGGCGAAAGCCUGAUGGAGCAACGCCGCGUGCAGGAUGAAGGCCUUCGGGUUGUAAACUGCUUUUAUAAGCGAGAAAUAUGAUGGUAACUUAUGAAUAAGGAUCGGCUAACUACGUGCCAGCAGCCGCGGUCAUACGUAGGAUCCGAGCAUUAUCCGGAGUGACUGGGUGUAAAGAGUUUCGUAGGUGGCAUAAUAAGUAGCUAGUGAAAUCUGGUGGCUCAACCAUUCAGACUAUUAGCUAAACUGUUAAGCUCGAGACCGUUAGGGGUAACUGGAAUUUCUAGUGUAGGAGUGAAAUCCGUAGAUAUUAGAAGGAACACCAAUAGCGUAGGCAGGUUGCUGGGACGGUUCUGACACUAAGGCACGAAAGCGUAGGGAGCAAACGGGAUUAGAUACCCCUGUAGUC